Molecule: ribosomal RNA, 656 nt
Filed under: uncultured bacterium
Lineage: Bacteria
Description: bacterial SSU rRNA
Rfam family: Bacterial small subunit ribosomal RNA
Source: RNAcentral
AUAUGCCUUUUGGUGGGGGACAACAGUUGGAAACGACUGCUAAUACCGCAUGAUGUCUACGGACCAAAGUGGGGGACCUUCGGGCCUCACGCCAAAAGAUUAGCCCAAGUAGGAUUAGCUAGUUGGUAAGGUAAUGGCUUACCAAGGCAACGAUCCCUAGCUGGUUUGAGAGGAUGAUCAGCCACACUGGGACUGAGACACGGCCCAGACUCCUACGGGAGGCAGCAGUGGGGAAUAUUGCACAAUGGGCGAAAGCCUGAUGCAGCCAUGCCGCGUGUGUGAAGAAGGCCUUCGGGUUGUAAAGCACUUUCAGUCAGGAGGAAAGGGUGUGUUUUAAUAGAGCAUAUCUGUGACGUUACUGACAGAAGAAGCACCGGCUAACUCCGUGCCAGCAGCCGCGGUAAUACGGAGGGUGCGAGCGUUAAUCGGAAUUACUGGGCGUAAAGCGUACGCAGGCGGUUUGUUAAGCGAGAUGUGAAAGCCCCGGGCUCAACCUGGGAACUGCAUUUCGAACUGGCAAACUAGAGUGUGAUAGAGGGUGGUAGAAUUUCAGGUGUAGCGGUGAAAUGCGUAGAGAUCUGAAGGAAUACCGAUGGCGAAGGCAGCCACCUGGGUCAACACUGACGCUCAUGUACGAAAGCGUGGGGAGCAAACAG